Molecule: ribosomal RNA, 497 nt
Filed under: uncultured bacterium
Lineage: Bacteria
Description: partial 16S ribosomal RNA
Rfam family: Bacterial small subunit ribosomal RNA
Source: RNAcentral
GAUGAACGCUGGCGGCGUGCCUAAUACAUGCAAGUCGAGCGAACGGACGAGAAGCUUGCUUCUCUGAUGUUAGCGGCGGACGGGUGAGUAACACGUGGAUAACCUACCUAUAAGACUGGGAUAACUUCGGGAAGCCGGAGCUAAUACCGGAUAAUAUUUUGAACCGCAUGGUUCAAAAGUGAAAGACGGUCUUGCUGUCACUUAUAGAUGGAUACGCGCUGCAUUAGCUAGUUGGUAAGGUAACGGCUUACCAAGGCAACGAUGCAUAGCCGACCUGAGAGGGUGAUCGGCCACACUGGAACUGAGACACGGUCCAGACUCCUACGGGAGGCAGCAGUAGGGAAUCUUCCGCAAUGGGCGAAAGCCUGACGGAGCAACGCCGCGUGAGUGAUGAAGGUCUUCGGAUCGUAAAACUCUGUUAUUAGGGAAGAACAUAUGUGUAAGUAACUGUGCACAUCUUGACGGUACCUAAUCAGAAAGCCACGGCUAACUACGUG